This 552-nucleotide ribosomal RNA is filed under the name uncultured bacterium. Its description in RNAcentral is "bacterial SSU rRNA". It matches the Rfam family "Archaeal small subunit ribosomal RNA", at positions 725 to 1275 of the family's 1478-position model. The record is from RNAcentral.
AGUGAAUAGAUACCCGGGUAGUCCUAGCCGUAAACGAUACUCGCUAGGUGUCGGCCACGGUGCGACCGUUGUCGGUGCCGUAGGGAAAGCCGUGAAGCGAGCCACCUGGGAAGUACGGCCGCAAGGCUGAAACUUAAAGGAAUUGGCGGGGGAGCACCACAACGGGUGGAGCUUGCGGUUUAAUUGGAUUCAACGCCGGAAAUCUUACCGGGACCGACAGCAACAUGAAGGCCAGGCUGAAGACUUUGCCGGAUUAGCUGAGAGGUGGUGCAUGGCCGUCGUCAGUUCGUACUGUGAAAGCAUCCUGUUAAGUCAGGCAACGAGCGAGACCCACGCCCACAGUUGCCAGCGUACUCUCUGGAGUGACGGGUACACUGUGGGGACCGCCGCUGCUAAAGCGGAGGAAGGAAUGGGCAACGGUAGGUCAGUAUGCCCCGAAUAUCCCGGGCUACACGCGAGCUACAAUGGUUGGUACAAUGGGUAUCUACCCCGAAAGGGGAUGAAAUCUCCUAAAGCCAAUCUAGUUCGGAUUGAGGGCUGCAACUCGCCCUC